CCUACGGGGGGCAGCAGUGGGGAAUAUUGGACAAUGGGCGAAAGCCUGAUCCAGCCAUGCCGCGUGUGUGAAGAAGGCCUUCGGGUUGUAAAGCACUUUCAGUGGGGAAGAAAGCCUUGGGGCUAAUACCCUCGAGGAAGGACAUCACCCACAGAAGAAGCACCGGCUAACUCCGUGCCAGCAGCCGCGGUAAUACGGAGGGUGCGAGCGUUAAUCGGAAUUACUGGGCGUAAAGCGCGCGUAGGCGGUCUGAUAAGCCGGUUGUGAAAGCCCCGGGCUCAACCUGGGAACGGCAUCCGGAACUGUCAGGCUAGAGUCCAGGAGAGGAAGGUAGAAUUCCCGGUGUAGCGGUGAAAUGCGUAGAGAUCGGGAGGAAUACCAGUGGCGAAGGCGGCCUUCUGGACUGACACUGACGCUGAGGUGCGAAAGCGUGGGUAGCAAACAGGAUUAGAUACCCGUGUAGUC
Molecule: ribosomal RNA, 465 nt
Filed under: Vreelandella stevensii
Lineage: Bacteria; Pseudomonadati; Pseudomonadota; Gammaproteobacteria; Oceanospirillales; Halomonadaceae
Description: partial 16S ribosomal RNA
Rfam family: Bacterial small subunit ribosomal RNA
Source: RNAcentral